This 800-nucleotide ribosomal RNA is filed under the name uncultured bacterium. RNAcentral's name for it is "bacterial SSU rRNA". It matches the Rfam family "Bacterial small subunit ribosomal RNA", at positions 8 to 806 of the family's 1533-position model. The record is from RNAcentral.
AGAGUUUGAUCAUGGCUCAGGAUGAACGCUGGCGGCGUGCUUAACACAUGCAAGUCGAACGAAGCUCCUGACUUCAAGUUUUCGGACAAGAAGGAGGGAUGACUUAGUGGCGGACGGGUGAGUAACGCGUGAGCAACCUGCCUCGGAGUGGGGGACAACAGCUGGAAACGGCUGCUAAUACCGCAUAAUAUUUAGUCAAGGCAUCUUGGUUAAAUCAAAGCUAAAUGUGCUCUGAGAUGGGCUCGCGUCUGAUUAGCUAGUUGGUGAGGUAACGGCUCACCAAGGCGACGGUCAGUAGCCGGACUGAGAGGUUGAACGGCCACAUUGGGACUGAGAUACGGCCCAGACUCCUACGGGAGGCAGCAGUGGGGAAUAUUGGUCAAUGGGGGAAACCCUGAACCAGCAACGCCGCGUGAAGGAAGAAGGCUUUCGGGUUGUAAACUUCUUUUAUCUGUGACGAUAGUGACGGUAACAGAUGAAUAAGCUACGGCUAACUACGUGCCAGCAGCCGCGGUAAUACGUAGGUAGCGAGCGUUAUCCGGAUUUACUGGGUGUAAAGGGCGCGUAGGCGGGGAUGCAAGUCAGAUGUGAAAAUUAUGGGCUUAACCCAUAACCUGCAUUUGAAACUGUAUUUCUUGAGUACUGGAGAGGCAGUCGGAAUUCCAUGUGUAGCGGUGAAAUGCGUAGAUAUAUGGAAGAACACCAGUGGCGAAGGCGGACUGCUGGACAGCAACUGACGCUGAGGCGCGAAAGCGUGGGGAGCAAACAGGAUUAGAUACCCUGGUAGUCCACGCCGUAAA